RNAcentral lists this ribosomal RNA (451 nucleotides) under uncultured bacterium. RNAcentral's name for it is "bacterial SSU rRNA". It matches the Rfam family "Bacterial small subunit ribosomal RNA", at positions 28 to 505 of the family's 1533-position model. The record is from RNAcentral.
GGUGAACGCUGGCGGUGCGCCUAAUACAUGCAAGUCGAACGUGAUCAUGCGAAAGUUUACUUUUGCAUGUGAAAGUGGCGGACGAGCGAGUAACACGUAAGCAUCUGCCCCGUACUCAGGGAUAACGGCUCGAAAGAGUCGCUAAUACCGGAUAGUCUCUUCGGAGUAAAGAUUUAUCGGUACGGGAGGAGCUUGCGGCCUAUCAGUUUGUUGGUGAGGUAAAGGCUCACCAAGACUAUGACGGGUAGCUGGUGUGAGAGCAUGACCAGCCGCGAUGGAACUGAGACACGGUCCAUACUCCUACGGGAGGCAGCAGUAAGGAAUCUUCCGCAAUGGACGAAAGUCUGACGGAGCGACACCGCGUGGUGGAUGAAGGCCCAUGGGUCGUAAACACCUUUUCUAGGGGAAGAAGAUCUGACGGUACCCUAGGAAUAAGCCCCGGCUAAUUACG